GUGAGGAAUAUUGCGCAAUGGAGGCAACUCUGACGCAGCCAUGCCGCGUGCAGGAAGAAGGCGCUACGCGUUGUAAACUACUUUUAACCGGGAAGAAACCCCAGGACGUGUCCUGGGUUGACGGUACCGGAGGAAUAAGCACCGGCUAACUUCGUGCCAGCAGCCGCGGUAAUACGAAGGGUGCAAGCGUUAUCCGGAUUCAUUGGGUUUAAAGGGUGCGUAGGCGGAGCGUUAAGUCAGUGGUGAAAUCCUGCAGCUUAACUGUAGACUUGCCAUUGAUACUGGCGCUCUUGAGUGCGCUUGAAGUGGGCGGAAUGUGCCGUGUAGCGGUGAAAUGCUUAGAUAUGGCACAGAACACCAAUUGCGAAGGCAGCUCACUAAGGCGAUACUGACGCUGAGGCACGAAAGCGUGGGGAUCGAACAGGAUUAGAAACCCUGGUAGUCC
Molecule: ribosomal RNA, 445 nt
Filed under: uncultured bacterium
Lineage: Bacteria
Description: bacterial SSU rRNA
Rfam family: Bacterial small subunit ribosomal RNA
Source: RNAcentral